Molecule: long non-coding RNA, 351 nt
Organism: Oncorhynchus keta (chum salmon)
Lineage: Eukaryota; Metazoa; Chordata; Actinopteri; Salmoniformes; Salmonidae
Exons: 3
Source: RefSeq, a predicted model, not a curated record
AUUGAUCCUAUGGGGAGAGACAAGGUGAGACAAUGUCUAUAGGACAGAUUGACCCUUUGGGGAGAGACAAGGUGAGACAAUGUCUAUAGGACAGAUUGACCCUAUGGGGAGAGACAAGGUGAGACAAUGUCUAUAGGACAGAUUGACCCUAUGGGGAGAGACAAGGUGAGACAAUGUCUAUAGGACAGAUUGACCCUAUGGGGAGAGACAAGGUGAGACAAUGUCUAUAGGACAGAUUGACCCUAUGGGGAGAGACAAGGUGAGACAAUGUCUAUAGGACAGAUUGACCCUAUGGGGAGAGACAAGGUGAGACAAUGUCUAUAGGACAGAUUGACCCUAUGGGGAGAGACA